GAAAGUUGGGAAGGCAUCUGUAAUUUCGAUAAAUAUCACCUUAUAUGACGUGAAUACCCUUAUGGCCCUUGGGUCUUGGAAGGGGAAUCAUCUGGAUUAGGGUUUUAUGCUCUCUUAAAACCCUAACCUCUAUAAAUAUCCAACGACGGUCCCUUGCAGUCUCUUCUUCAAUCUCAGUAUAACGUGGAUACUGAAGCGAAUUGAUAAAGGUUCCAGAGAUCUAGAGCGAAGAUGAGAGCCAAGUGGAAGAAGAAGCGCAUGAGGAGACUCAAGAGAAAGCGCCGAAAGAUGAGGCAGAGAUCUAAGUAAAACCGAGCAGAGUAGCGUGGAUGCAAAGAUGGCUCGUCAUACCUAUUGCCUCCCUUCUUUUAUCACCGUCAUGUUUUAAAAGAAGGGGAAUGGGGUAGUAGAAGGCUGAGUCGUCUUAGUUUCUAGUCUAUCUUUUUACUGUUUUGCAGUCUUAGGUCUAGAUAAAACUUACAGGCUACUACUUUUAGUGCCCGAUUAUAGACUUGUAUUGGAUAAUUCCUCUAUUUAGUAACCUGUUUCUGAUGAUUUGGAUCUUUCAUUUUCUUUAAUGGAAAAUCUAUUUUGAGACGUGUGUUUGUCAUGCUUUCUCUCUACUUGAAAUGAGUUAUCAUGCUGCUUUCU
Molecule: long non-coding RNA, 651 nt
Organism: Telopea speciosissima
Lineage: Eukaryota; Viridiplantae; Streptophyta; Magnoliopsida; Proteales; Proteaceae
Exons: 2
Source: RefSeq, a predicted model, not a curated record